AAACUAAUUUAUUUUGACGGCAUUUAAUCUAAUUAGAGGAAUUUGUCUUAUAAUCGAUAAACCACGUUAAAUUUCACUUUAAUUUAAAACCUAUAUACCGCCAUCUUAAGAAUCAAUUUCAAUAUACUUCUCCAAAAACAAAUAAAAAAUUAGGUCAAGGUGUAAUUUAUAUUAAAGAACAAGAUGAAUUACAUUAAACAUAAUUUAAAGAUUAUAUAUAGAUAUAUUUAUAUAAAUAAGAAUUUAAAAACAAUAUUGAAACAAUAUUACAAUAUGAUAAAGAUAAUAAAUGUGUACACAUCGCCC
RNAcentral lists this ribosomal RNA (306 nucleotides) under Draconarius paratrifasciatus. RNAcentral describes it as "partial 12S ribosomal RNA". The record is from RNAcentral. Lineage: Eukaryota; Metazoa; Arthropoda; Arachnida; Araneae; Agelenidae.